RNAcentral lists this non-coding RNA (106 nucleotides) under Gordonia bronchialis. RNAcentral describes it as "Glycine sequence". It matches the Rfam family "Glycine riboswitch aptamer". From Rfam's summary of the family: This family represents the bacterial glycine riboswitch. Glycine riboswitches usually consist of two metabolite-binding aptamers domains with similar structures in tandem. Lineage: Bacteria; Bacillati; Actinomycetota; Actinomycetes; Mycobacteriales; Gordoniaceae. The record is from RNAcentral. RNAcentral also lists the same sequence under 1 other name.
CGCUACACCUCGGGAGAGCGUCACCGGGCCGCAAGGCCCCGGGUGGCCGCCGAAGGAGCAAUACCUCCUCGUCAAACUCUCAGGCACCCAGGACCGUGGUGUUGAC